UCAGUUGAGUUGUUCGCGCCUCUCCUGCUCAUGAUUGAUCCCUCUGAAUACCCAUGUUUCCGGUGCGGCAGAGUUAUUAGAUACAACUCGUUCUCCAGGGUUUAUAUUGUUUGCCCAAAGAGCUUGGCCUCUCUCACUCUCUCGAAUCGUUUCACGUUCAUCGGCUUGGUCUUUGUUCAGAAGCUUUCUUAGGUGCAAGAAUGGCCAGUAUCUCUCAGUCUUCUGUUUUUCAGCCUCGUAGGCGUCCUGGAGUUGGAUCAAAGGGACCCUCAAAGUUAUGCUCCAUCCUUCCCUAUGCAGAAUGAGCCAAGCAUCUUGUUGAAAUCUCUGCUGCAAGAGAUAGUGGAUGAUCAAUGGUUUAAGUAUUGUUGAGUUUGAAAUCGCUGCAAGAGAUAGUGGAUGAUCAAUGGUUUAAGUAUUGUUGAGUUUGAUUGGAAUUUACAUCCUCAAGGGCACUGGUUUUGGUAGAGAGACUGUAUAUUCAGAUGGUUUUUCAUAGUAUUGUUUUAAGCAUCUUGUUUGAUUUUUAUAUAUUCUGUAUAAGUUUCCUUUUCUGUAAUCUAUCAAGUGUAUUGGGAAUGGUUCUACUUAAAAAUUUAUAAUAUUGAAGUUGCCUAGAAGAUGGUCUUACAUGGAUUAGUUGUUCUUGGUUCCUUCAAUCCUUUUGUGGUUGAUUUUUUUCAUGUUGCAGUUUUUCUUCAUUUGAGUUGGCUGACAAAGAAAAAAAAUAGGAUUUUGUCAUCUUUUUCCCACUUUCACCUUUGACUGUGAAGGGAUUUGAGGCCGGAUCCCCCCUCCCCUGCCUCUCCUGGUGGGCAUCAUUGUGCUUGGUCUAAUUUUGGUUGGAUAUAUACAGGGUCAUUUAUGGCUGAAAUUUGGAGCAUGCUCAGCUAUCCUGAGCGAAGACUAAUUGGUGUAGGAAGUGUAGUGAGGUCUGAUACCAACUGAUGUAGGAUGGGAAUAGAGAAGUGGAGAGAGAAGAGAAGAAUGAGGGGGAAGAAAUCUGUGUUCAAUCUCAUUAAUACUCAAUAUUCAUCAAAAAGUAAUCAAUACAAUACAUAUGACCAUGUAUAAUCUCAAGUCUAAAAUAGUUGCAGCAAACAUAAAAGUCAAUAAAAAUGGCUGCCAUGAGCCUUGUGAGACAUGUAGCCAUGUGUAUACUUUAAGUUGGAAAAUUGCUAUGCUCAUUUCCAACAAAGCUGCAAGACAACAGACCUUAUUUAUAGGUAAACAGAAACUAAUAUUAAUUAGAAGCAAAUAUUGCAAACUACUCAUAUUUAUUAUAAUUCCUAAAAUGUAUAGGAAAACUCUAAAAUCUGUCUGUCCUUGCCCAUUCUCCAAGCAUGGGUGAGAGUCAUGUGCAAUUCAUGUGUACGGGCAAUGUCCUGAUAUCCAUCACUAAUACUUAUGUUAUUGUUGCUUAUGCAUUUCAAGCUUAUUAUCUGCCUUUAGCCAUGCAAUGUGCAACACAUGCCCUUCAAUGUGUUCAAUUUAUGAAGAAAUCAAAGCACGCAUUUCCAUUUUGAUUUUUUGAGGUUUGUUAAAUUUCUCAUUUCAAUCUACAUUUUGAUUUUUUCCCCUGAAUAAAUUUUCUUUUCCUUAAAUAAGUUUCAAGGAUGCAUGCACUUCAGUUUUUCUUUCUAUUAACCUUCUGUUUUAUUCUUUAGUGUUCUACUUUUUAUUUGCUCUAUGUCAUGAACAUGUGUCUCUACCUUUAGUUUUGCAAUAGCUGCUUGUAUAUCAAUAAUUCAAAGCAAAAACAUAUAAAAGAAGACCCCAUUUAUUAAAAAAACCUAAUAGUUGAAAGCCUGCUGUGACUUAGCUAAACUUCAGUUGUAAAAUUCUGUUAAUUUAGCCAAGUUAUUGCGAAGAUUUUAGUAUGACCCAGACAAGUGAUCGAGCAGCAAAAUGCUUGCGUAGAAUUUUUAAAUGCUUUGUCCAAUCAAUUAGCCAUUACCAAAAGGCCUGUUUGAUUCAUCUUGGACUUUAUUACAAAUUAAACAAAGCAAAUCCUCUUAAACAUGUGCAGAAUUCUAAACACUGCCUUGACUUGGAGCACACAUGAUCCUCACUCAUUUAUACCAUAGAGCGUGUAUUUGCAUACUUUUUUUGUCCAGAGGUUAUCCAAGACACCAGUAUGGAGGAGUGAUUUGUUCAAAGUUUAACAUACCAAAAGAAGCUACAAUAAUAAGGCUUAAAUACAUGAUACACCCCUUAUAAAUGUCAUUUUCGUCUUUUCUCAUUUUGACCAUUUUCUUCCACAUUUUCUCAAAGAAUUUUUUUGAUAAAUCCAGUGAACCACACACCAAACUUAUAGUUUGAGAGCUGAUCAUGUUUACUGCCUUUUGUAUUUGUAUGUCUUUGUUAUCGAAAUUGUUACUGAUCCUUGAUACUAUUAUUGUUGUUAUUAUGAUUAGAUAUUAUUUUUAUUAUUGUUAUUUA
Molecule: RNA transcript, 2442 nt
Organism: Cornus florida
Lineage: Eukaryota; Viridiplantae; Streptophyta; Magnoliopsida; Cornales; Cornaceae
Gene name: RNA-binding KH domain-containing protein PEPPER-like
Exons: 4
Source: RefSeq, a predicted model, not a curated record